ACGCCGCGUGAGUGAUGAAGGCUUUCGGGUCGUAAAACUCUGUUGUUAGGGAAGAACAAGUGCUAGUUGAAUAAGCUGGCACCUUGACGGUACCUAACCAGAAAGCCACGGCUAACUACGUGCCAGCAGCCGCGGUAAUACGUAGGUGGCAAGCGUUAUCCGGAAUUAUUGGGCGUAAAGCGCGCGCAGGUGGUUUCUUAAGUCUGAUGUGAAAGCCCACGGCUCAACCGUGGAGGGUCAUUGGAAACUGGGAGACUUGAGUGCAGAAGAGGAAAGUGGAAUUCCAUGUGUAGCGGUGAAAUGCGUAGAGAUAUGGAGGAACACCAGUGGCGAAGGCGACUUUCUGGUCU
Molecule: ribosomal RNA, 350 nt
Filed under: Geobacillus stearothermophilus
Lineage: Bacteria; Bacillati; Bacillota; Bacilli; Caryophanales; Anoxybacillaceae
Description: bacterial SSU rRNA
Rfam family: Bacterial small subunit ribosomal RNA
Source: RNAcentral